AUUGAACGCUGGCGGCAUGCCUUACACAUGCAAGUCGAACGGCAGCACGGGUGCUUGCACCUGGUGGCGAGUGGCGAACGGGUGAGUAAUACAUCGGAACGUACCUUAUCGUGGGGGAUAACGCAGCGAAAGCUGUGCUAAUACCGCAUACGCCCUGAGGGGGAAAGCGGGGGAUCGCAAGACCUCGCGCGAUUAGAGCGGCCGAUGCCUGAUUAGGUUGUUGGUGGGGUAAAAACCCACCAAGGCGACGAUCAGUAGCUGGUCUGAGAGGACGAUCAGCCACACUGGGACUGAGACACGGCCCAGACUCCUACGGGAGGCAGCAGUGGGGAAUUUUGGACAAUGGGGGCAACCCUGAUCCAGCAAUGCCGCGUGAGUGAAGAAGGCCUUCGGGUUGUAAAGCUCUUUUGUCAGGGAAGAAACACCGGCUCUAACACAGUCCGGGAAUGACGGUACCUGAAGAGUAAGCACCGGCUAACUACGUGCCAGCAGCCGCAGUAA
This 501-nucleotide ribosomal RNA is filed under the name uncultured bacterium. Its description in RNAcentral is "partial 16S ribosomal RNA". It matches the Rfam family "Bacterial small subunit ribosomal RNA", at positions 29 to 523 of the family's 1533-position model. The record is from RNAcentral.